Molecule: small nuclear RNA, 107 nt
Organism: Mustela putorius furo (domestic ferret)
Lineage: Eukaryota; Metazoa; Chordata; Mammalia; Carnivora; Mustelidae
Source: Ensembl
GUGCUUCAGCAGCACCUAUACUAAAAUCGAAACGAUGCAAUGCAGAGGUUAGCGUGUAAUCCCUGGGCAGGGGUGAUAUGCAAUUUCGUAAAGCAUUCCAUAUUUUU